GGGCUGUACCCGGGCGCACCGACAGCAGCCCCGCCAGAGUUUGCCCCCGCCGGUCCCUGGGCGCUGCCCGCAAACCGGCGUUCGCUCAUCUCAUCCCGCGUGGCCACGGCCCCUGCACGGGCGCUGCGGUUGAGUGAACGCUGCAACCAGACACGAGCGAUGUCUGCUGCACAAAAGCUUCACUGCUCCCACACGGGUGCUGCUGUCACGCAAACACCACCAGACGAGCCGCACAAACAAGCUCCGUGUGUUCGCUAAUUUAAGGUGUUGCUUUGACAGUUCCAUUGCAACUUUUAUUUCAAAAGCACUGGAGGCCCGGAGGACAGAGGGAGAGCCAAGGCAAUGCUAGUGGCUGUAUAGCAGUAGCAGCCUGUGAAAUCUAUCAUGCAGCACCAGAACUGGAGCUUUGACUAAAAUUGUUUUUCGAAGUGCUCAUUUCUUUAUCUAAAACAAGUGUACCUGAGCUCAACAUUCCUGCCAAGUGAUUUCUCACACCACAUAUUUGCAUUAUGACGUUGUCAGUUAUGCUUUUUCCAACCUUUUCUGCACAAACAAAGCAGUGCCAUUGUCUCUACCGGUCCUCUGAGGACCAGUGGUUCCUAAGGAAAAUCCACAUGGAGCCUGACCCAUCAUGGAGAACAAUGACCCUGUGAUUAAGCCUGGAGAGGCGGUCUGUGGGUACUGGCUGACUGAGGCUUGAAGUUAUGAGGGAGGAAAUGGUUUGGGAUUGCUUCCUUCCUUUUGCACUCUGGGAAGCUUUUGUAACUGGACUUGUACCCGUGUCAUUAACUCACUCCGUUUUUUCUCCACCUAAGUGGAAAAAUCUACAGAACCUUGAAUUGUUGACUAAUUAUUCAGGUCUGAAGGAUUAGGAGAAGAGAAGAUGCACUAAAUAUAAACAGACUGUGUCAGCAAACUUGGAAGAGUUACUUUAACAGCCUUGUGUCACGCAGCAGAGUAAAAUACUGUGCCUUGCUGCAUAAAUGGUUGCACUGCAAUUAUUUGCACCAGUAAAGGAGUAUGGGGGCUCUUCUGAGAAGUGGAGGCUUUAAAAUCUGACCUUUAAGGAAAAUCACUCACUGUUGGAGUAAGAACUGUUUAAGGCGCACUGAGAAAUGGAAAUCAGUCACAUUACAAGG
Long non-coding RNA from Neopelma chrysocephalum (saffron-crested tyrant-manakin), 1139 nucleotides. RefSeq lists it as uncharacterized. NCBI's taxonomy places the organism in Eukaryota, Metazoa, Chordata, Aves, Passeriformes, Pipridae. The transcript is spliced from 3 exons. The record is from RefSeq and is a predicted model, not a curated record.